AAGACAAGAAGUGAUUGAGAAUUAUGCCAAGGACCUUCCUCCUAUAUACCUAGACAUUGUGCAGCACUCUGAUCUUUCAACAUUAUCAUGGGCUCCGUUAAUGUUCAGGUACCCGUGGAAUGUAGUAUUCGGGAACCUAGGGAAGCAAAACAUCACGGUGGCUGGUGAUGCCAUGCACCCCAUGACACCUGAUUUAGGACAAGGAGGUUGCUUGGCAUUGGAAGAUGCCGUGGUCUUGGGUAGAUACAUAGGGACAUCAUUUGUACAAAAUGGACGACUCGUGCCAAAAGAGAUAGAUAGUGCGAUAGGGAAAUACGUGGAAGAAAGAAGGUGGCGUGUCGCGCUGUUGACUGCAGGAUCAUAUUUAUCCGGAUGGGUGCAGCAUUUAGGGCCUGGAUGGGUGAGGAAGUUCUUGAGGGAUGCCAUAUUUUACAGGUUUAUUUUCACUAAACUUGUUAAACUUUCACAUUAUGAUUGUGGAAAACUUGAUUUCUAGCUAGGGCAUUUCGUUGUCCAAAAGAAAGAAGACAAUCAAGAUUCCCUCCUCUACGGAAUUAAAUUAUUGAUGGCCUUUCAACAAGGAUCAACGAGAGACAGGAAUCUAGGGAGAACAGAGAAGAUUUAUGGAACCUAUUAGCUAUAACAUAAAUUAAUACUUUCACAUAUUGCUGCUUUGUUGUUGAUGUAGUGCAUUUUGAACAGUAGUUGAUAGCAAGGCAUAUUGAUGUAGUCUGAGAUGAAUAGCUAAAUAAGCAGUAUAUACUUUGUGGAGCCUCCAAACGCGUAAUGGAUAAUUUGUUGAUAGAAAAUGUUUGAUUAUACAUCUGAAGAAGAACCUGCUUCUUUACGAUAAAGAAGCCCAGAUUGUUUAGGAUGAUCCAAUGAACCAUUACUUCCCAAGAUUAUAACUACAGACGUGCAUCGACUACAAAGAGAAUGCAACGUAACGCUUACGAUAGAGAACGCAAAUCUCCAAAACCUUUACCAAUCACUUCCAAAGGCCUUCCUUAGUUCCAUACUAGAAAAUACGCAUGCGUGUUGCUGCAGGAACCAACUAUUUCAGGCGUAAUCAGAUGAAUAAAACACAUUUUAAGUUGAAUAAAUUCAACACAAUUUUGAAAAAACAAAGGAAUACAUGAAUAAAUGAGGUCGAUAAGAUAAACAGCUUGGCUUUUAUAUACAUUCAACUGAGCUGACAUGUAAAGACAUUGUAGAAUUAGUAGAACGAAACUUAACGUCCUUGAUCACAAACACGUGGUCGCCAAAAAUGUUCUGUUACCAUAAGAAACAGAAGAAACAAAAGGAACAUGCAGUUCACACAUAAUUUGCCUUUGUAGUUAAAGCUAGCAAAAUAUAUGUCCUGUAAGGCAAGCACCUAUUUUAGCAGUUAAUAAAAAACAUAGAAAGUGGAUACCACCCAAAGCAUCCUUUGAACAAAUUAAGAAAUUCAAAUAAAAUUAAACACCCAAGGAAAUAAUAAACACAGAAAAGAUAUGCUUGAACUGUUAAGCAAAUCAAGAAUACUAACAUAAAUAAAGAUAUGCUUGUACCGUUAAUCAAACCAACAAAAAUAAAAAACAAUUAACAAUGUGAGAAACGACAGCAAGGAUACCAGCAGCAGGCACAACCUUCUCCGAUGAAGCCAUUGGAGCACCUGAAUCGGCAACGAAGAAACAGAGAAAUCAAUCUCCAAUCACCAAACAAAGAUUCAAACCCAAAACUGCAUAAUUUAUCAUAAAAUUCACACAAUUGAUUCGAGUGCUUCCAUUGAACUCUUAGGAGAUCACAACAUCUUUUCAGUAAUCGGGAUAAAAUAAAUUCAAAAUACAAACACAUUGCAAUGAACGAAGACGAAACAACUGUAAGAUCGAAAGCAAAAGUGAAACUGACCAAUUCUUUUUUACUCUCCUCUAAUGUUUCAAGUAUACCCUUCUUUUAAGCUUCUACGUCAUUUUCGGUUUCAACUGUCGUCUUUGGGUCACCAAUGGAUUCAUCUGAUUGACCAGAUCGACUGGCAUCCAAUGCCGUUUGUGCAUUUUCGAGUUCAUAUCUCAAAUUCCUUUCAUUCUCUUCCAUCUCCUGAUAACGUAUGUCGUACCCAGUGCACAAGGCUCCCAUUAACAAAAAAACAAUAUACUCAAGUCUCACCAUUAGCUUCCUCUUCAGCAAAUCUUCUUCUAGAAUUUUCUCUUGUAUUUUAUUUUCAAACGAUAUUGCCCUUCAUAUUCAGCAUUCUCUUCCUGCAAUGUUACCUCCCUCAACUGUGUCUGUCCACAAAUGCAAAUGGGAACUAUUAAGAAAGAUUAAAACAUCGCCUUUUUUAUACUCCAAACUUAAACUACACAACUCCAUAGCCAAAAAUAAACAAUCACAUAAAACCAAGAUAGCAAACAGAGAAAACGCAUUAAAUCAAGUACAUCCUUGAAUUUUUUAGCAUAAAGAACAAAUUUUAGAUACAAAAUAUAUUGCCGCAAAGCGAAUACUAAUAAGCUUUCAGGAGUGCAAGUUGUCCCCUAAGCAAUUCUUAAGCCAAUGUAAUUGGCUUCAGAAUUCUUGGUUCUCUUCACAUAAAUUUUUGGUUAUUGUCAUUCGAUUCUGCCGGCUUCUGAACUAAAGCAUUCUGAAGUAGAAUUGCACCUUAGGAAGCCACUGAGCUAUCCUUCUCCACUUCAGUUGUAUCUGAGCAAUUUAAAAUGCCAUCAGCCAUCUCUAAUUGUGACAAUUCAUUCAACUUAAUUUGGUUAUCAUUUAUAUCCUAAAUCAAACUAAAACUUUAUCCCACGAAAUUAAACUUCUAUCGCAUCCAAUUAAACUACCACAACAACAUACUGACAAAGUGAACAUGGAAAUUCAUAUACCAUUUGACAAUACCAAAUCAAGAAAUUUCUAAAGACCAAAGACAGAUCCUACAAAGCAGAAACCCUAUCUCAUAUGCAUUAAAAUCAUUGACAAAUUCUUGGUGAAUCAUCAUAAAAUUAACCCAAUUUCUCAAUUCCAAAAACAGGAAAGAUUAAGAAAGGGUUCUGAGUUCUCACCAUAACCAAAAUAAACAUAUCGUUUCAGUUUGAACUGAGGUCAAUUUCGGUCAUCUGCAUUAACAGAAACAAUAACUUCUGUCAGUGCAUUCAAACCAAACCCAUAAAUCAAUUCCUAAAAUCAACUGCAAAUCACAAAGUUACCCAAAAAAAUCCCACAAAGAACCAAAAUACAUGAAAAUUACUAUAUUAGCACUCCCUCCACCCCAAAAUCAGAAAAUUUGAAAUUAGAGUUUGAUAACAUUGUACUUAGAAAGCAAGGAAUCGAUAAUUUAGGUGGUUUCCCAGGACAAUAAUGAGCUUGCAGAGAUCAUAUUCAUACAUGGAUGCACAAAUACACACACUACAGAGACCAUUUGAUGAAAAAAUAAAAAAUAGAGAUGCUCAGAGAUUCAACACACACUAUACAUAGAUCCAUGACCUAGAAUUUCUCAGAUCCAGUUGAAAUUAAUAAAAUAAAAUAAAAAAAUUUAGGGACAUGAAUUUAUACCUCUGACAAUCUGAGCUCCAUUCCCCUGAUUCCUUCGCCGGCUUGGUGCAAACCUGAGGAGAUCGGCAAUUAAGGAUAAGAAAGCAGGCGACGGUGGUUUAGUUUUUUUGAGAGAAAAUUCGAGUGAAAAGAAAAAGGAGAAGAAGAAGGGGAUGCCCCUUCCCUUCUCAGAUCGUCAAUAACAUCUGAAGUACUAAACACCCAUACACUAUAUUUACACACAUACGCUAAUCAGCACUCUUAACAUAUCAAUGGUCCAACAAUUAUGGAGCUCGAAAUUUAUAUAAGAAAGGGCCAAUCAAAUCAUAAAUUAAAAUGAAAAUAUGUACGUAAUUAAGAAUUAUUACUUGCUGAGUCAGUUCCUUCUUGUCACUUCAAGAAUUCUUCAAUUCAAACCAAUUCGAUCAAACUGCCUCACCCAACAAAACAAAAAAUAAAUAAAUUAAAAAGAAAAUCAGGGGAACUAAAUUAAAUAUACACUGACCUACUUUCUGGCAAGAAACCAAAAAGAGCGAUUAAAUAGCAGUGCACAAUGACGGAAUUUCUAUGAAAAAAUAUGAAUGAGUUCUUGAGGUUCCUGAUAUCAUUAGAAACUAUUUAUGUGUCAAGAAAAUCCAUUAUUCAAACUGCAGACAGGUUACAAAAAUCUGACAACUUAUGAAUCGUCUCUUGAGCACCUAGGAGUGGGUGGAUCCGGGUCUUGAAAUAUGAUGUUUUAAAGAACUGAUCAACAUGAAAAUCAGAUGUCAAAGCAAAGUAGACAACCAAUCAUGACUAUGCUUAAAAGAAACGAAAAAAGAUAUGGCAGGAGAAAAAAAAAUGUACAAGUAAAGUUUCAGCAGCAACCUCAAAACAUUUAUCAGUUGAAGCAUGCGUUUCUAAUAAAUGGCAUCUCAACAUCCAACAUUUACACAAUUCCAUACCACACAACAAUCCAAAAACAGAUCAAACAGUUAGCAAAUGUCUGAAUUAAUAAUUUGACCAUUAAACUAAACGAAUCCGGUGAUUUAAUGCAAAGAUGGACACAUUUGUAGUACCUUCAUCACGUGAAUAGUUCCAUAUCUGUAACAGAAAAACAAAUUUUGAUGCAUCAGGAUAAUGUUCAAGGAAAUGUAAAUAUUUCCCCAACAAAGCAUAUCAAAGAAAAGGUAACAGAAAAUGUAAACUUUGGCACCUUUAUUGUUCGUAACAGCAGGAUGGCAUUAACUUUCAAUCCUGGCACAAAGCCAACUGUCAAAAGGAUGUCAUAGGUCACAUCACAUCCUUUGCUGGUACAGAGCAAUCUUCAUCACUUCCAUCACCACAAACCUCUCUCCACUUAACCUAAACAAUCACAUUUCAUCCGAAAUCAGUAAAGACUUGAACUUGCUGCAAAUUAAUAAACAAAAACCCGGCAAACACGAAAAACACAACCACAAAACCUCUAUGAAUUCAUGGGUAAGAGCAUCUCUUCCAAAAAUUCCACUUAAAGUAGAAAUGAUGAAUGGAACACUGGACAUUCUAAGGUCAAGUAAAGUACUUCAGAAUAAGAUAAAGAGAAGUAAGAUUCACAAAUCUUGGAAUACAUAAAAAAGGGCGGCAAGACAAAAUUGCACUAUCCCCAUUGAAACCUACACUGACAUUCAAAGGUAACAUUUGGAUUAAAGACAAAAUUUAACACCUUCUCGAGUUUAACUAAUUUAAAGCGGCAAAUAUAUGCAAUUCCUCACGGAUUCCAAGACUACAUUCAAAGUUUAAUCAAAUAUAAUAAUCAUAUUGCUUUGGCAUUUUAUUCCAAUUAAUUUAAGGGAAUGAAAGCCAAUCACUUUGCAAAUGCCACAUGAAACAUACCAUAUGGGUUUAAAUUGCUACUCCAUACACUUCACAUAAAUAAUAGAUUCCAAAUCCAGUCCAAAUUCACCUGUGGCAACUGUGGUUCCUUUGAUCCUGAAAUAACAACUAUGAGGAGUAAGGCCAAGGUUAAUACCAGGACGUAAACAGGGAUACAAACAUAGACCAUAAAAGAGAAUAUAGAGCAUUUUCUCUAUCAUUUCUCUAUCAAGUCGUCGUACCCAGUGCACAAGGCUCCCGCUUUACGCAGGGUUUGGGAGAGGUGAAUGUCGGCUAGCCUUACCCCCAUUUAUGGAGAGGCUGCUCCCAAGUCUCGAACCCAAGACCUACCGCAUUUCUCUAUCAAGUGUAGCAUGUAAUUAUUUAUUACCACAUAGUUGGUGCAAAAUAUUUGAUAAAAAUGAAUAGGCUAAGUAUGGGAAAACUUCACCACCAUUAAUUCAAAACAGUUAUUUAAAAGGAAAUUCAAAAUAAAAUAAAAAAACAAAAGAACUCGCCUGGCAAAUCCUUCUCCAGGAUCUUCCACUCUUCCCGAAUUCUCUUUGCCACAGACACAAUCGUCGGAGUUUGGGAACCGAAUCCUUUGUUUGGAACUGUUGCAGAAGUGACCGACUAUCAGGACCACGGCAUCUUCAAGGGCUGCAGGCAAAGCAAAGUUGAGAUAAACAACAAAGAACUACAAAGAUUUGAUCUUUAUUAAUUUAGUGAAAAAACCAAUUCAUAUAAAACAACAGUUUCCACCACCAUAUUCAUUUCAACAGCAAGAACAGAAACCGCAUAUAAAAGAAAUUUAAAAAAUUGAAGAAACAGAGGUAAUAACAAUACCAAAUCCAGGCCCAUCGGGUCCCGCGCAGUGUAAUCUGCUUCUCUGAGACCAUUUGUUCCAUAAAAUCUGACGCCUUUGAGCUCCAAUCUGUGCGAACACUUCCAGAGCUUGAAGGAGUGCAGUGAAAAAUGGGUUUAGAAAGCAGGGAAGAAAGUGCCAGAAGCUAAAACCCACUAAUCAUUUUUUACUUUAGAUUCUCAGAUUCUGUCACUUUGUCAUCGUUUCUCCCCUUUUUCUUGUCAGCUCACAACAAAACAAAUAUCUUCUGAGUUCUCUUUCUCUCUUUGCAAUUCCCACACCCAGCUCCCUCUCAUCUGUCUCUGACAUCCCCUCUCCCUCACAAUCUCACUGAGUCGAAACCCCUAGCUCCCAUCUCUCUCCAAUCUGUCAGUCCCUCUGUCCUCCUCCCCCAAUGACGCUCUGACCAAAGCAACAGGCACGGUCAUCUCACCAAAUCCCUAUCUCUCUCCCUCCCUCCCUCCCUCUCUCUGCUCGCUCGCUCUCUCUCCCAACGGCAUGGUCUCACCAAGUCCCACUGCAGCUCAGAAUACUUCUCCUCAGUCACUCCAAAUUGCUAAUUGGAUUACACUCCGAAGCCCACAUUUUCUACACAAUCUAAAUGUAACUCUCACUAAGCCACAAACACACAAUUUGACAUCUCAUAAACACUGAAAUAUAACCAUUUCAGGUAAGCAAUGCAAGAUCCAUAAACCAAGACGAAUUACAAUAAAACAAAAUUGAAAAGAAAGCAAGAAUUUACCACCAAUGUAAACAAACCUAAGCAACUAUGUGUAUUAGACAUUUAACCAAAUCUCAUGUAACAAAAUUAGUAACUCCCUGUUCACUGACUCAUAGUCCACUGCACUCAAAUUCAUUGUCUAAAAGAUAUAUCAAAUUUGGUAACAAAAAUGAUGCCUUUCGAUAUAGAGAAUGUUAGGCAACCAAUGAUUUAAGAUCCAAAAAGUUCCCAACUCCAGCACCUUUAUGUGACCAAAAAACUUUACCAAGUGAGCACUGAAGCAGGCCGUUAUAAAUCUACUCAUAGUUGACUGAGUUAUCACUGUUUCAAAUAAAGAAGAAAGGAAGAAGGAUAUUCAGUUGCAGUCGGCCAUUCUCAGAGAAAGACAAAAACUUCUAUGUUUGAUUAUUUCCUGGUUAUUUCUUGUGACCCGAAUCACAAGUUUACCUUGCAUCAAAAUAAAAAUCACGUGACCAUGCAUAUAUAUCACAAUUUAUCUAGAAACCUUCAGCAUUUGAUGAUUCGAAACUUGAAAGGAGCAAUAUCCAGCCCAUGCAUUACUGCAUGGUUUAGGUAUUGAAAAAGUAAGAUGAUAGUGGUACAUCCUUUACACGUUCUGAAAUGUAAUCUUUUUAGUUUGGGAAAAGAUUCUUGCUUGAACAGGUAUUAUAGAUCGUGCAGACAGUGUUUCAUCGUUAGGGUACUGUGAUUUGCAGACAUGGGAUUGGCACCCAAUACUCAACUCAUUUUAACUAAUAUGCGUUAAAAACAAUCAUCCACUAAAUCCCUAUUUCAAUGGAAAAAAACCAAAAAUUACUUAUGACGAAGAUGAAUAAGUUGCAGGAUUUAUUAGAUUAGCACAUAAUAUUGCAGUAUCAGACUCCACCUAAGUAGCUCCUGCCAAUUUUAAUCAACAGAUAAGCACAAUAAAGCACUUGCAAUUGAACCAGAGAAAUUGCAAUACGCAUAAAAUUAAGCUUAAAAAAAGUAUAUUGUGCGUGCAGCUUCUGGAAAGUGUGAAAAUCCAAAUUCCAACUCAUACAAUCAUAACUGCAUAAGAGAUAACGAAAUUGAUUUCACGAAUUCAUCAAACAUUGAGAAUUCAUAACAAAAUUGUGGGAAACAACUUCAACCUCCACUACGCCAUUCAAAUUCCUAGUCCUCAAAUUAAAAACCAUAAGAUUCCAACUUUCGUCCAAAAAAGAAAGAUAAAACAAUAAUGUAAAAGAAAAAGCAUACAUUAGCGAACCCGGCAAAGAAUUCCGCCGGCGAUUCUGCAGAAAAAUUGAAAGCAUGGCUAAUGAAUAUUCAAACUAAAACAUGCGUACAGAAAAAGAAGGCAGAGAGAGAGAGAAACUCUGUUCCAGAACGCUAUCUUUGGGCUUUCUGCGCGUCUUCGAUUGGCGUUUCUUAGGCUCCGUCUGGCUCUUGCUGCUCCCUCGAGCUUCCAUUUCAAACUCCCAAUCAAAUCUUCGCCCCAAAAAAAACCGUCGAUCCUCUUCGAAUUCGAUCAAUUCUAGAGACAGAGAAAGGAGGAGUAAGACGACGGAGGCGAGAGAAGGGAGACGGCGGCGAGAGGAGGAUAGGAUGGAGGCGAGGCCGUCGUUCUCGCGGGGUCUGCGAGACGGAAGAGGCAAGGAGGGUUUGAGAAAUCCCUGGAAAUCAGCCUAACCCUCAAAUCCCGACGGCCACAUGCUUUUCUCUGACUGUACCCCCUCUCCCACUAUGAAAUCGAGGAUCCCCACUCCUCCGUCUCCCUCUGUCUCCCUGAAGCGGCAUGGCCUUCCAUCCCCGAAACCCUCACCGAACGAAGAACAAAGAGGCGGUGGUAAUUUUGUAAAUAAAGCGAAAGUUGGGCUGAAAUCAGUCCGGUGGCAAGCUCGUAAAUAAAGUGAAAUUUCAAUCUGAAACUGAAAAGGCGGUGGUAUUUUUGUAAAUAAGUCAAAAUCCACCCCAAGUCACUGUUGAUUUGAAUAGUGCCAAUUUCAAACCUUACUUUAGACUGAAGUUGUAUAACCAUGCGCGAAUUAUGUCAAAGCUUCUUCAUCAAUUACCAUUUAAUCAGUCUAAUAUAAAACAAGUGUUGAUGUUUACAGACAUUAAUGCUACAUUUUUUUUCAUACAAAGAUAUUCUACUCUAAUGGAGGGGAUAUUCUACUCCAAAAGAAAAUAUUUGUCUUGGCACAUAACGAUCCAUCCAUAACUAGUAUCGAAUUCAUGUUUAGGUACCCGUGGGAUGUAGUAUUCAGGACCUUCCUCCAUGUUCAAGUACCCGUUAAUGUUGUAUAACCAUGCGCGAAUUAUGCCAAGGACCUUCCUCCUAUAUUCAUAGACAUUGUGCAGCACUUGGAUCUUUCCACAUUAUCAUGGGCUCCAUUAAUGUUCAGGUACCCGUGGGAUGUAGUAUUCGGGAACCUAGGGAAGCAAAACAUCACGGUGGCUAGCGAUGCCAAGCACCCCAUGACACCUGAUUUAGGACAAGGAGGUUGCUUGGCAUUGGAAGAUGUCAUGGUCUUGGGUAGAUACAUAGGGACAUCCUUUGUACAAAAUGGACGACUCGUGCCAAAAG
This 9489-nucleotide long non-coding RNA is filed under the name Malus domestica (apple). RNAcentral's name for it is "long non-coding RNA (MDOM_LNC010820)". Lineage: Eukaryota; Viridiplantae; Streptophyta; Magnoliopsida; Rosales; Rosaceae. The record is from RNAcentral.